This 185-nucleotide small nuclear RNA is filed under the name Ixodes scapularis (black-legged tick). RNAcentral describes it as "U2 spliceosomal RNA". It matches the Rfam family "U2 spliceosomal RNA". Rfam says of the family: U2 is a small nuclear RNA (snRNA) component of the spliceosome (involved in pre-mRNA splicing). Complementary binding between U2 snRNA (in an area lying towards the 5' end but 3' to hairpin I) and the branchpoint sequence (BPS) of the intron results the bulging out of an unpaired adenosine, on the BPS, which initiates a nucleophilic attack at the intronic 5' splice site, thus starting the first of two transesterification reactions that mediate splicing. Lineage: Eukaryota; Metazoa; Arthropoda; Arachnida; Ixodida; Ixodidae. The record is from Rfam by way of RNAcentral.
AUCGCUUCUCGGCCUACUGGCUUAGAUCGUAUAGAGACAUGUUCUUAUCAGCUUAAUAUCUGAUACGGACCUAAUUGGUCCAAGAUAUUAUACUUAUUUUUGAAAAUGGUGUUUCUUCAGAGCUUGCUUUGGGGACGCUAGGGCUAGCCCGGCAUUGCACUACCUCCGGGACUGGCUCAUGCCGC